RNAcentral lists this ribosomal RNA (699 nucleotides) under Salmonella enterica subsp. enterica serovar Adelaide. RNAcentral describes it as "partial 23S ribosomal RNA". It matches the Rfam family "Bacterial large subunit ribosomal RNA", at positions 1942 to 2640 of the family's 2925-position model. The record is from RNAcentral. Lineage: Bacteria; Pseudomonadati; Pseudomonadota; Gammaproteobacteria; Enterobacterales; Enterobacteriaceae.
AUAACGGUCCUAAGGUAGCGAAAUUCCUUGUCGGGUAAGUUCCGACCUGCACGAAUGGCGUAAUGAUGGCCAGGCUGUCUCCACCCGAGACUCAGUGAAAUUGAACUCGCUGUGAAGAUGCAGUGUACCCGCGGCAAGACGGAAAGACCCCGUGAACCUUUACUAUAGCUUGACACUGAACAUUGAGCCUUGAUGUGUAGGAUAGGUGGGAGGCUUUGAAGUGUGGACGCCAGUCUGCAUGGAGCCGACCUUGAAAUACCACCCUUUAAUGUUUGAUGUUCUAACGUGGACCCGUAAUCCGGGUUGCGGACAGUGUCUGGUGGGUAGUUUGACUGGGGCGGUCUCCUCCUAAAGAGUAACGGAGGAGCACGAAGGUUGGCUAAUCCUGGUCGGACAUCAGGAGGUUAGUGCAAUGGCAUAAGCCAGCUUGACUGCGAGCGUGACGGCGCGAGCAGGUGCGAAAGCAGGUCAUAGUGAUCCGGUGGUUCUGAAUGGAAGGGCCAUCGCUCAACGGAUAAAAGGUACUCCGGGGAUAACAGGCUGAUACCGCCCAAGAGUUCAUAUCGACGGCGGUGUUUGGCACCUCGAUGUCGGCUCAUCACAUCCUGGGGCUGAAGUAGGUCCCAAGGGUAUGGCUGUUCGCCAUUUAAAGUGGUACGCGAGCUGGGUUUAGAACGUCGUGAGACAGUUCGGUCCCUA